GAGUUUGAUCUUGGCUCAGAACGAACGCUGGCGGCAUGCCUAACACAUGCAAGUCGAACGAACUCUUCGGAGUUAGUGGCGCACGGGUGCGUAACGCGUGGGAAUCUGCCCUUGGGUACGGAAUAACUCAGAGAAAUUUGUGCUAAUACCGUAUAAUGACUUCGGUCCAAAGAUUUAUCGCCCAAGGAUGAGCCCGCGUAAGAUUAGCUAGUUGGUGGGUAAAGGCCUACCAAGGCUACGAUCUUUAGCUGGUCUGAGAGGAUGAUCAGCCACACUGGGACUGAGACACGGCCCAGACUCCUACGGGAGGCAGCAGUGGGGAAUAUUGGACAAUGGGCGAAAGCCUGAUCCAGCAAUGCCGCGUGAGUGAUGAAGGCCUUAGGGUUGUAAAGCUCUUUUACCCGGGAUGAUAAUGACAGUACCGGGAGAAUAAGCUCCGGCUAACUCCGUGCCAGCAGCAGCCGCAGUAAU
This 471-nucleotide ribosomal RNA is filed under the name uncultured microorganism. RNAcentral's name for it is "bacterial SSU rRNA". It matches the Rfam family "Bacterial small subunit ribosomal RNA", at positions 9 to 524 of the family's 1533-position model. The record is from RNAcentral.